This 441-nucleotide ribosomal RNA is filed under the name uncultured bacterium. RNAcentral's name for it is "partial 16S ribosomal RNA". It matches the Rfam family "Bacterial small subunit ribosomal RNA", at positions 338 to 795 of the family's 1533-position model. The record is from RNAcentral.
CCUACGGGUGGCAGCAGUGGGGAAUAUUGCACAAUGGGGGAAACCCUGAUGCAGCAACGCCGCGUGAGUGAAGAAGGUUUUCGGAUCGUAAACUUCUGUUCUUAGGGAAGAAUAUUGCCGUAAGCUACGGAGCAAGCCCCGGCUAACUACGUGCCAGCAGCCGCGGAAAUACGUAGGUGGCAAGCGUUGUCCGGAAUUACUGGGUGUAAAGGGAGCGCAGGCGGGAAGCCAAGUCAGCUGUGAAACCCACGGUCGCAACUGGGGGACUGCAGUGGAAACUGGAUGUCUGGAGUGAAGUAGAGGGUGGCGGAAUUCCAAGUGUAGCGGUGAAAUGCGGAGAUAUUUGGAGGAACACCGGUGGCGAAGGCGGCCAACUGGGCUGUAACUGACGCUGAGGCGCGAAAGCGUGGGGAGCAAACAGGAUUAGAUACCCGAGUAGUC